Molecule: ribosomal RNA, 457 nt
Filed under: uncultured bacterium
Lineage: Bacteria
Description: bacterial SSU rRNA
Rfam family: Bacterial small subunit ribosomal RNA
Source: RNAcentral
UACGGGAGGCAGCAGUGGGGAAUAUUGCACAAUGGGCGAAAGCCUGAUGCAGCUAUGCCGCGUGUAUGAAGAAGGCCUUAGGGUUGUAAAGUACUUUCAUCGGGGAGGAAAAAACAAAACUAAUAAUUUUAUUUCUUGACGUUACCCGAAAAAGAAGCACCGGCUAACUCCGUGCCAGCAGCCGCGGUAAUACGGAGGGUGCUAGCGUUAAUCAGAAUUACUGGGCGUAAAGAGCACGUAGGUGGUUUUUUUAAAGUCAGAUGUGAAAUCCCUGGGCUUAACCUAGGAACUGCAUUUUGAAACUGAAAUACUAGAGUAUCGUAGAGGGAGGUAGAAUUCUAGGUGUAGCGGUGAAAUGCGUAGAUAUCUGGAGGAAUACCUGUGGCGAAAGCGGCCUCCUAAACGAAUACUGACACUGAGUGCGAAAGCGUGGGGAGCAAACAGGGAUUAGGAUACC